RNAcentral lists this transfer RNA (74 nucleotides) under Siphoviridae sp. ctAUQ2. RNAcentral describes it as "tRNA-Ile". It matches the Rfam family "tRNA". Rfam says of the family: Transfer RNA (tRNA) molecules are approximately 80 nucleotides in length. Their secondary structure includes four short double-helical elements and three loops (D, anti-codon, and T loops). Further hydrogen bonds mediate the characteristic L-shaped molecular structure. tRNAs have two regions of fundamental functional importance: the anti-codon, which is responsible for specific mRNA codon recognition, and the 3' end, to which the tRNAs corresponding amino acid is attached (by aminoacyl-tRNA synthetases). tRNAs cope with the degeneracy of the genetic code in two manners: having more than one tRNA (with a specific anti-codon) for a particular amino acid; and 'wobble' base-pairing, i.e. permitting non-standard base-pairing at the 3rd anti-codon position. The record is from RNAcentral. Lineage: Duplodnaviria; Heunggongvirae; Uroviricota; Caudoviricetes.
GUGCAAGUAGCUCAGGUGGUUAGAGCGUCACACUGAUAAUGUGGAGGUCGUUGGUUCAAGUCCAUCCUUGCGCA